AUGCAUAGUGUUCACAAAGAUCAAAUUCUGGGAGUUUACAUUUCUGAAACUUGGGUCAAGGUCCUGACCAAUCCUCAAAAGAGCAACUGUGUGGACAUCUGUGGCAAUGUCAGAUUCACUGAAUCCCAAGACAAGGAGCUCUUUGAUAAUGGGCUAGAGGAAAGUGUGAAAGAAUGGUUUAGAACUAAUUCAAGAAAGAACAAUCUGAUUCCCACUUGGAGGAGGACGCAGGAGCUGAAUCAGAUGGGGCUGUGGUGCCUGGGGAGGAGGAAAUUGUGAGUACUUGCUCUUGAUUGAGUAUCAUUAUCCUCCUGUUGUCUAGGAAGAUGAUUGUUAUAAUUAGCCACAAAUGUCAUGGGCAACUAUAAUUUACCUUUUCCUGUAACAACUGAUAGUUUACCUUUUCAAUGCCUCCUUUUAUCUUCCCACCAUGGGGCUUUCCCCAUCCCUCCAUAACAA
RNAcentral lists this long non-coding RNA (459 nucleotides) under Macaca mulatta (Rhesus monkey). Its description in RNAcentral is "lncRNA (ENSMMUG00000052477.1)". Lineage: Eukaryota; Metazoa; Chordata; Mammalia; Primates; Cercopithecidae. The record is from RNAcentral.